Long non-coding RNA from Archocentrus centrarchus (flier cichlid), 413 nucleotides. RefSeq lists it as uncharacterized. The record is from RefSeq and is a predicted model, not a curated record. The transcript has 3 exons. NCBI's taxonomy places the organism in Eukaryota, Metazoa, Chordata, Actinopteri, Cichliformes, Cichlidae.
GCUCUCACUGUUUUGUUUUCCGUGGAAACCGGGUUCAAAUGGCUCUUUCCGGAUUACAGGUUGCCGACCCCUGACCCAGUGUAACGCUACAGUCACCCAGCAAAGAUUCAUUCCUGGAGAAACAACUGAUUGUUUUGGGAGGAAACUAGCCCUAAGCCCAUCCAUAAGAACUACCGGAGAGUAGAAACCUGGGGAGUGUUUCAGCAUCAAACCAGAGAAUCAAAUUUUAUAGCGAUUUGGAAUUGGAUUUUGUGUGGAGCUUCAGACUAAUUAACCUCGGAAAGGAGCAGAGUCUGAUUUACUUCUCCGAUGGAAGAUGCACAACCUGAACCCUGAGAGAUUUUUUUUUUAAAUCUUCUUGUAUCAUUCUGACUUGUUCUAUUAGCAUUUUUUUUGCAUUAAAACGUGUAACC